RNAcentral lists this ribosomal RNA (426 nucleotides) under uncultured bacterium. Its description in RNAcentral is "bacterial SSU rRNA". It matches the Rfam family "Bacterial small subunit ribosomal RNA", at positions 354 to 796 of the family's 1533-position model. The record is from RNAcentral.
GUGAGGAAUAUUGCACAAUGAGCGAAAGCUUGAUGCAGCAACGCCGCGUGGGUGACGAAGGCCUUCGGGUCGUAAAACCCUUUUCUGGGGAACGAGAGAGGACGGUACCCCAGGAAUAAGGUUCGGCUAACUACGUGCCAGCAGCCGCGGUAAAACGUAGGAACCGAGCGUUAUCCGGAUUCACUGGGCGUAAAGCGCCUGCAGGCGGUCUGGUAAGUUGGAUGUGAAAUCUCUUGGCUCAACUGAGAGAGGCCAUUCAAUACUGCUGGACUUGAGGGCAGAAGAGGGAAGUGGAAUUCCCGGUGUAGUGGUGAAAUGCGUAGAUAUCGGGAGGAACACCAGUGGCGAAGGCGACUUCCUGGUCUGCACCUGACGCUAAGAGGCGAAAGCUAGGGGAGCGAACGGGAUUAGAAACCCCGGUAGUCC